RNAcentral lists this ribosomal RNA (300 nucleotides) under Triticum aestivum (bread wheat). Its description in RNAcentral is "partial small subunit ribosomal RNA". Lineage: Eukaryota; Viridiplantae; Streptophyta; Magnoliopsida; Poales; Poaceae. The record is from RNAcentral.
AUGCCUCCCAUAUUGUUAAGCCAAGCCUCUAACCCACCCUGUCCUAGAAACCGUUGUUUGGCUACGUUACCGCUUUGCUCAGCCCCUCUUAUAACGUUGUUAGUUGCAGGUGAAGAUUGGAGUUGUUCCUUGUUGGGAUAUCACAAUAUCUCUUAUUUAAUUAAUGCAUAUAUAUACUUGGUAAAGGGUGGAAGGCUCGGCCUUAUGCCUGGUGUUUUGUUCCACUCUUGCUGCCCUAGUUUCCGUCAUAUCGACAUUAUGUUCCCGUAUUUUUGCAUUCCUCACACGGUUGGGUUAUAA